Molecule: long non-coding RNA, 570 nt
Organism: Macrobrachium nipponense
Lineage: Eukaryota; Metazoa; Arthropoda; Malacostraca; Decapoda; Palaemonidae
Exons: 3
Source: RefSeq, a predicted model, not a curated record
UGUAUAGUUAGGAAAAGUACAAUUUACGACAAAUUGAUCUUGUGCCUCUUGGUUGGGUGGUCCUGCAUGUGGAAACCUGGCAGUGGUACAUAUUAAAGGAUUAUGGCUCCUUUAAUGUAACUGCAGCAUGUCGCACCACUACUGAUGUAUGUGUCACUCACGUGCUUUAUAAAAUUAUACCAUUAGAUAACCCCUAGAUCAAGUACUAGCUUCACAAUGACCUGUGACUGAACCAUGUAACAUUGACAUAACAGUUCUCUACAGCAUCAUAAAUUUUUCUUAUGGGAAAAAAUGUCUGGGUGCCCAGCAUCCAGCAUUGCAUCCAGGUGAUGGUACUGCUUGCAAAUUCUUGAAAUAAUUAGUGUAUAUUGAGACGAAUAAUACAGAAGUUGGCUAGUACUAUAACAAAGUGUCUCAGGGGUGGAAUGUCUUAAGCACUUACUACAGCCAUUUAGUUUAUCAGUGUCGGAGCAGACUUGGAGCUGAUCUCACAGCUGACCGCUGAUUUUCCUUAUGCAUUCAUGAUUUCUGUUGAAGAAUUUUAGACCAUUUCAAGUGUAAAUGACUAAA